This is a long non-coding RNA of Dreissena polymorpha, 4153 nucleotides long. RefSeq lists it as uncharacterized. Lineage: Eukaryota; Metazoa; Mollusca; Bivalvia; Myida; Dreissenidae. The transcript has 10 exons. The record is from RefSeq and is a predicted model, not a curated record.
UGUCACUGACAUAAUGUAAAUAAUUUCAGUUCUAUAUUAAUUGACUAAAUCCUCAUCAUUUUAUAUUUCAUGAAUUUGUAGAGAUUUUAAUAGCUGAUGUGUUGUUAAAUUUAUACGUCAAUAUAAAAAUAUGAGAUAUAGAUAUAAAUUACAUUUAGCACUUUAAACCGUUUUUUUGUUAUGCCCCCCUUCGAAGAAGAGGGGGUAUAUUGCUUUGCACAUGUCGGUUGGUCGGUCUGUCGGUCGGUCCGUCCACCAGGUGGUUUCCGGAUGAUAACUCAAGAACGCUUAGGCCUAGGAUCAUGAAACUUCAUAGGUACAUUGAUCAUGACUCGCAGAUGACCCUUAUUGAUUUUGAUGUCACUAGAUCAAAGGUCAAGGUCACUGUGACCCGAAAUAGUAAAAUGGUUUCCGGAUGAUAAUUCAAGAACGCUUCGGCCUAGGAUCAUGAAACUUGAUAGGUAGAUUGAUCAUGACUCGCAGAUGACCCCUAUUGAUUUUGAGGUCACUAGGUCAAAGGUCAAGGUCACGGUGACCCGAAAUAGUAAAAUGGUUUCCGGAUGAUAACUAAAGAAUGCUUAUGCCUAGGAUCAUGAAACUUGAUAGGUAAAUUAAUCAUGACUCGCAGAUGACCCCUAUUGAUUUUCAGGUCACUAGGUCAAAGGUCAAGGUCACGGUGACCCAAAAUAGUAAAAUGGUUUCCGGAUGAUAACUCAAGAACGCUUAUGCCUAGGAUCAUGAAACUUGAUAGGUAGAUUGAUCAUGACUCGCAGAUGACCCCUAUUGAUAUUCAGGUCAAAGGUCAAGGUCACGGUGACCCGAAAUAUUAAAAUGGUUUCCGGAUGAUAACUCAAGAACGCUUAUGCCUAGGAUCAUGAAACUUGAUAGGUAGUUUGAUCAUGACUGGCAGAUGACCUCUAUUGAUUUUGAGGUCACUAGGUCAAAGGUCAAGGUCCAAUGACCCGAAAUAGUAAAAUGGUUUCCGGAUGAUAACUCAAGAACGCUUAUGCCUAGGAUCAUGAGACUUGAUGGGUAGAUUGAUCAUGACUUGCAGAUGACCCCUAUUGAUUUUUAGGUCACUCGGUCAAAGGUCAAGGUCACGGUGACCCGAAAUAUUAAAAUGGUUACCGAAUGAUAACUCAAGAACGCUUAUGCCUAGGAUCAUGAAACUUGAUAGGUACAUUGAUCAUGACUGGCAGAUGACCCUUAUUGAUUUUCAGGUCACUAGGUCAAAGGUCAAGGUCACAGUGACCCGAAAUAGUAAAUUGGUUUCCCGAUAAUAACUCAAGAAAGCUUAUGGCUAGGAUCAUGAAACUUCAUAGGUACAUUGAUCAUGACUCGCAGAUGACCCCUAUUGAUUUUCAGGUCACUAGGUCAAAGGUCAAGGUCACAGUGACAAAAACAUAUUUACAAAAUGGCUGUCACUACAACUGAGAGCCCAUAUGGGGGGCAUGCAUGUUUUACAAACAGCCCUUGUUAUUUACUAUGUUUAUCAUGCCAUACACUAUUUCAGUGAGUCCGAAGAGCGUUUCAUGGGCCCUGAAGAUGUGGUAAUGAUGAAAUCUGCCCCGUGCCUUCCACGGGUGUUCAGAUUGACGUACUGAAGGACUGAGGAAAAUUUAGGAGUUCCAGGGUAGGGGGCCAAAAAGGUGAACAUUUUGGCCAAGAUGUUUCCUAUGUCAAUUGGUAUUUGGCCUCAUGUGAUUACAAACGGCUAGGAAUGGCAGCCAUUACUCAGGCCAGUGUUGCCUCCCACGAGGAAGAAAUAUCCUGUGUGUAGGAGAGGGGGACAGUGAUCAGGGUCUUGGCGGCUAUGAAGGAUUUUUUUCCGCUGGUGUGUCUCCGCCCAGCACAUGGAGGUGUCGAAAGCGGAGGGAAUCCUCAUCGUGAUUGGGGGUCUUGUGACGACCGUCAAUUAGGAAAAGCAACAGAGGGUCAUUGAUAGAAAUCUCCAAGAUGAGGAGACGCUCCUUGAUGUUGAGAUAAUUUUGGUUAAGUUCUGUAAUCAACUGGGCUACUGUUUUCUAAUUAUAUAAUUAUUUUGAUUCAAAUCAAGCAUAACAUUCCUUGAAUAUUUCAGGAUAUCCGGUCAUUCCUGACAUCAGACGUAGUGUCUGCAAAGUGGAAGUAUUUUAUGGACAAUCCCAGACCAAAUUGGAAGGAUGCCACCGGAAUUCUAAUGAUAUUUAUGGCAGUAGGAAACGGCACCAGGACCAGCACCCUUCAGUUUCUGAAAUCCAAUGAUGUAACACUUGCAAGGCCACUGAAUGACGGGCAAUAUUACACAUAUGCUAUUGCCAAGCAUAAGACAUCAGAUUCCUACGGUGCAGCAGUAUUGACCGUCUCUGCUCAAACAAGGACAUAUCUCUUGUCAUAUCUGCAAGCCUCGCCGUUAUAUUAUUCUAAGCUUCGCCUGAUAUAUUACAAUAGGACAGUAACCUGUUAUUCUCUAUAUAUUUAAUUAUUUAAUUAAAAAAAUCAUGGAAAACUAGGCGAGACGAACCGGAGAGAAGAAAAAGGACCGACGACAUAAGCCCACCGUUAAGAAACAACGUAACGAGCAGUACAAGCAUGACCAGCUAUCAACCUCCGGGUUGAAGAUGCCAUAUCAGCGAUUCAGGUGUCUCAACGCUCAGUAACAGGAGAUGGCCGCCUCGUACGUGAGCCUUACCCUUGCCGCCGCUGAGCUUCACACCGUGUUUGGCAUACCCAAGAAGUGCGCCGCGUUGGCCAGGUUAGACUACGAUCAACUGCCUGGGCCGUCAGGGUUAGGGUUAGACGUCGCACCUGCCCCCGCCCCCGAAUAACCCGGGCCUUCCCAGAAUGCCCUUCCCUAGGUCCUCCUAAGGGUCGUGCCCAGACCCAAGAAGCCUAAGAAUUAGAGACCAGUGGAAAUAUGGACUGAGUCAUCCUCCAGCAAAGACGACAUGUCUGACUCUGUGCAGGUACCAGUGGUCUCCAGGGUUGUCCCUGUGCCUGCGCCCGAGAAGCCUAAGAAGAAGAUACCAGUGGAAAUAUGGAGUCAUCUUCAGCAUCAUAUACGAGUAAGUGGUCGGGAACUGACCUUAGUGUCUCUACAGAUUGGAGUGAGGAUGACGUCUUCAAAGACUUUACAUUCGUCCUGUCCUCGUCCACUAAAAAGGGGCGUUUUACAUUUGUUCCUAUUCAGAUCAUCCUCCGGGUUCAAGUCAUAUCAGAGAUUCCAGAUUCUGGAAACUUAGCAUGAGGAGAUUAUGGCGUCGUAUGUGCAACUUACACCGCACUUCAACCCGCCCCUGAGCUACACACCGUGUUCGGCAUACCAAAGAAGUGCGCCGCGUCGGCCAUAUUGGACUACAACAAAAACUCUGGGUCAUCAGGGUUAGGGUAAGACGUCACACCUGCCCGCGCCCCGGAGGUACCCGGGUCUUCCCAGGAUGCCUUAAUAAGAUACCAGUGGAAAUAUGGACAGAGUCAUCCUCCAGCGAUGAAGACAUGCAGGUACCAGUGGUCUCUAGGGUGGUCCCUUCGACCCAGCCCGAGUAGCCCAAACAGAAGAAAAUACCAGUAGAAUUAUGGAUGGAGUCAUCUUCAUCAUCAGAGAUGAGUGGUGAGUGGUCAGGAACCAACCUCAGUGUCUCGACAGAUUAGUCGCAGGAUGAGCUCAUCGGACUUGUUUUCUCAGUGUUCCUUUGUCGUAGAAUCGCCCCAGACACGUUCUACUCCACCUACUAACCAUCACGCGAAAACCCACUCUGGAUCAGCAGACGAUUUAUUUCAUAAAUCAAUCUCUGGGUUAAUAGUCGCCAUCUUUCGAACUACUUUCAAAAGUACAACAAUAACAGUAGAAGACAAUUUUAAUUGCGAAAAGUUGAAAAAUUGAGUACAUGUGUCACGGUUGUUGAGUGGAAUAGUGUUAUUUUCAACUGUGUACGAAGCAUGUGAACUGGUAGUGGAAUAACCGAAUUGUUGGUGGAAAUGGAAUUGAGAAAUAUAUCUAAUAAUUCAUCAUUUUUCAUGUCAUGAUCGUGUAGAAUUAUCAUCAGCAUCAUUUCUGUGGAACAUUGCAAUAUUCAAAAUACAAGUGUUUCAUAGCUAUGGUGCUUUUGACAUAGUUCACUAACCAUCAAGACUGAAAUGAUUCAUGCACACAGGUAAAGUAAAUAAUUGAAUU